UGUUGUUAUUCUAGGAAGAAAAAGAGAAGGGUGUGUGUGAAUAUCGAUGGUUGUGCGUGUAUGGUGUGUACAGAAAGAGUGACGAUGGAAGGAGUAGUGUUGGUGUUUGUCUAUGGUGGGAGAAUUGUAAGGGGUGAGUGUGAGAGUGUGAUGAUGAAAGAAUGAGCCUCCCCCUUUUUCCCCUUUUAGAAUUUUCCUUUUAUAUUUUUUAUUUGAUUUUUCUUUUUCUUUAUUUAUUAUC
RNAcentral lists this long non-coding RNA (241 nucleotides) under Capsicum annuum. Its description in RNAcentral is "long non-coding RNA (CANN_LNC016707)". Lineage: Eukaryota; Viridiplantae; Streptophyta; Magnoliopsida; Solanales; Solanaceae. The record is from RNAcentral.